GACGAACGCUGGCGGCGUGCUUAACACAUGCAAGUCGAACGGAAAGGCCCUGCUUUUGUGUGGUGCUCGAGUGGCGAACGGGUGAGUAACACGUGAGUAACCUGCCCUUGACUUUGGGAUAACUUCUGGAAACUGGGGCUAAUACCGGAUAGGAGCUCCUGCUGCAUGGUGGGGGUUGGAAAGUUUCGGCGGUUUGGGAUGGACUCGCGGCUUAUCAGCUUGUUGGUGGGGUAGUGGCUUACCAAGGCUUUGACGGGUAGCCGGCCUGAGAGGGUGACCGGCCACAUUGGGACUGAGAUACGGCCCAGACUCCUACGGGAGGCAGCAGUGGGGAAUAUUGCACAAUGGGCGGAAGCCUGAUGCAGCAACGCCGCGUGCGGGAUGACGGCCUUCGGGUUGUAAACCGCUUUCGCCUGUGACGAAGCGUGAGUGACGGUAAUGGGUAAAGAAGCACCGGCUAACUACGUG
RNAcentral lists this ribosomal RNA (468 nucleotides) under uncultured bacterium. RNAcentral's name for it is "partial 16S ribosomal RNA". It matches the Rfam family "Bacterial small subunit ribosomal RNA", at positions 28 to 507 of the family's 1533-position model. The record is from RNAcentral.